CGAUGAAGGACGUGCUAAUCUGCGAAAAGCGUCGGUAAGGUGAUAUGAACCGUUACAGCCGGCGAUGUCCGAAUGGGGAAACCCAGUGCAAUUCGUUGCACUAUCGUUAACUGAAUACAUAGGUUAACGAGGCGAACCGGGGGAACUGAAACAUCUAAGUACCCCGAGGAAAAGAAAUCAACCGAGAUUCCCCCAGUAGCGGCGAGCGAACGGGGAGCAGCCCAGAGUCUGAAUCAGCUUGUGUGUUAGUGGAACGGUCUGGAAAGUCCGACGGUACAGGGUGAUAGUCCCGUACACCAAAAUGCACAGGCUGUGAACUCGAAGAGUAGGGCGGGACACGUGGUAUCCUGUCUGAAUAUGGGGGGACCAUCCUCCAAGGCUAAAUACUCCUGACUGACCGAUAGUGAACCAGUACCGUGAGGGAAAGGCGAAAAGAACCCCGGCGAGGGGAGUGAAAAAGAACCUGAAACCGUGUACGUACAAGCAGUGGGAGCACCUUCGGGUGUGACUGCGUACCUUUUGUAUAAUGGGUCAGCGACUUAUAUUCUGUAGCAAGGUUAACCGUAUAGGGGAGCCGCAGGGAAACCGAGUCUUAACUGGGCGUUAAGUUGCAGGGUAUAGACCCGAAACCCGGUGAUCUAGCCAUGGGCAGGUUGAAGGUUGGGUAACACUAACUGGAGGACCGAACCGACUAAUGUUGAAAAAUUAGCGGAUGACUUGUGGCUGGGGGUGAAAGGCCAAUCAAACCGGGAGAUAGCUGGUUCUCCCCGAAAGCUAUUUAGGUAGCGCCUCGUGAACUCAUCUUCGGGGGUAGAGCACUGUUUCGGCUAGGGGGUCAUCCCGACUUACCAACCCGAUGCAAACUACGAAUACCGAAGAAUGUUAUCACGGGAGACACACGGCGGGUGCUAACGUCCGUCGUGAAGAGGGAAACAACCCAGACCGCCAGCUAAGGUCCCAAAGUCAUGGUUAAGUGGGAAACGAUGUGGGAAGGCACAGACAGCCAGGAUGUUGGCUUAGAAGCAGCCAUCAUUUAAAGAAAGCGUAAUAGCUCACUGGUCGAGUCGGCCUGCGCGGAAGAUGUAACGGGGCUAAACCAUGCACCGAAGCUGCGGCAGCGACACUAUGUGUUGUUGGGUAGGGGAGCGUUCUGUAAGCCUGCGAAGGUGUGCUGUGAGGCAUGCUGGAGGUAUCAGAAGUGCGAAUGCUGACAUAAGUAACGAUAAAGCGGGUGAAAAGCCCGCUCGCCGGAAGACCAAGGGUUCCUGUCCAACGUUAAUCGGGGCAGGGUGAGUCGACCCCUAAGGCGAGGCCGAAAGGCGUAGUCGAUGGGAAACAGGUUAAUAUUCCUGUACUUGGUGUUACUGCGAAGGGGGGACGGAGAAGGCUAUGUUAGCCGGGCGACGGUUGUCCCGGUUUAAGCAUGUAGGCUGGUUAUCCAGGCAAAUCCGGAUAAUCAAGGCUGAGGUGUGAUGACGAGGCACUACGGUGCUGAAGUAACAAAUGCCCUGCUUCCAGGAAAAGCCUCUAAGCAUCAGGUAACAUCAAAUCGUACCCCAAACCGACACAGGUGGUCAGGUAGAGAAUACCAAGGCGCUUGAGAGAACUCGGGUGAAGGAACUAGGCAAAAUGGUGCCGUAACUUCGGGAGAAGGCACGCUGGUGUGUAGGUGAAGUCCCUGCGGAUGGAGCUGAGACCAGUCGAAGAUACCAGCUGGCUGCAACUGUUUAUUAAAAACACAGCACUGUGCAAACACGAAAGUGGACGUAUACGGUGUGACGCCUGCCCGGUGCCGGAAGGUUAAUUGAUGGGGUUAUCCGUAAGGAGAAGCUCUUGAUCGAAGCCCCGGUAAACGGCGGCCGUAACUAUAACGGUCCUAAGGUAGCGAAAUUCCUUGUCGGGUAAGUUCCGACCUGCACGAAUGGCGUAAUGAUGGCCAGGCUGUCUCCACCCGAGACUCAGUGAAAUUGAACUCGCUGUGAAGAUGCAGUGUACCCGCGGCAAGACGGAAAGACCCCGUGAACCUUUACUAUAGCUUGACACUGAACAUUGAGCCUUGAUGUGUAGGAUAGGUGGGAGGCUUUGAAGCGUGGACGCCAGUCUGCGUGGAGCCAACCUUGAAAUACCACCCUUUAAUGUUUGAUGUUCUAACGUUGGCCCCUGACCGGGGUUGCGGACAGUGUCUGGUGGGUAGUUUGACUGGGGCGGUCUCCUCCCAAAGCGUAACGGAGGAGCACGAAGGUUAGCUAAUCCUGGUCGGACAUCAGGAGGUUAGUGCAAUGGCAUAAGCUAGCUUGACUGCGAGCGUGACGGCGCGAGCAGGUGCGAAAGCAGGUCAUAGUGAUCCGGUGGUUCUGAAUGGAAGGGCCAUCGCUCAACGGAUAAAAGGUACUCCGGGGAUAACAGGCUGAUACCGCCCAAGAGUUCAUAUCGACGGCGGUGUUUGGCACCUCGAUGUCGGCUCAUCACAUCCUGGGGCUGAAGUAGGUCCCAAGGGUAUGGCUGUUCGCCAUUUAAAGUGGUACGCGAGCUGGGUUUAGAACGUCGUGAGACAGUUCGGUCCCUAUCUGCCGUGGGCGCUGGAGAAUUGAGGGGGGCUGCUCCUAGUACGAGAGGACCGGAGUGGACGCAUCACUGGUGUUCGGGUUGUCAUGCCAAUGGCACUGCCCGGUAGCUAAAUGCGGAAGAGAUAAGUGCUGAAAGCAUCUAAGCACGAAACUUGCCCCGAGAUGAGUUCUCCCUGAGACUUUAAGUCUCCUGAAGGAACGUUGAAGACGACGACGUUGAUAGGCCGGGUGUGUAAGCGCAGCGAUGCGUUGAGCUAACCGGUACUAAUGAACCGUGAGGCUUAACCUU
Molecule: ribosomal RNA, 2856 nt
Filed under: Klebsiella pneumoniae
Lineage: Bacteria; Pseudomonadati; Pseudomonadota; Gammaproteobacteria; Enterobacterales; Enterobacteriaceae
Description: bacterial LSU rRNA
Rfam family: Bacterial large subunit ribosomal RNA
Source: RNAcentral